GGCCUGAUGGUCUAGUAGUAUGAUUCCUUGUUAGGGUUUAUAACUUAAUUCGAGGAGGUCCUGGGUUCAAUUCCCAGUCAGGCCC
This is a non-coding RNA of Crucibulum laeve, 85 nucleotides long. NCBI's taxonomy places the organism in Eukaryota, Fungi, Basidiomycota, Agaricomycetes, Agaricales, Nidulariaceae. The record is from the annotation of a GenBank genome assembly.